This 85-nucleotide transfer RNA is filed under the name Bombardia bombarda. It matches the Rfam family "tRNA". From Rfam's summary of the family: Transfer RNA (tRNA) molecules are approximately 80 nucleotides in length. Their secondary structure includes four short double-helical elements and three loops (D, anti-codon, and T loops). The record is from Rfam by way of RNAcentral. Lineage: Eukaryota; Fungi; Ascomycota; Sordariomycetes; Sordariales; Lasiosphaeriaceae.
UCUUCCGUAGUAUAGUGGUCAGUAUAUGAGCUUGUCAUCAAGUUCGACAUCGCUCGGGACCCGGGUUCAAUUCCCGGCGGGAGAG